AAUAUUGCACAAUGGGCGAAAGUCUGAUGCAGCAACGCCGCGUGAGUGAUGAAGGCCUUCGGGUCNUAAAGCUCUUUUAUCAGGGANUAUAAUGACAGUACCUGCAAAACAAGCCCCGGCUAACUUCGUUCCAGCAGCCGCGGUAAUACGUAGGUGGCGAGCGUCGUCCGGAAUUACUGGGCGUAAAGGAUGCGUAGGUGGAUACUUAAGUGGGAUGUGAAAUCCCCGGGCUCAACCCGGGAACUGCAUUCCAAACUGGGUAUCUAGAGUGCAGGAGAGGAAAGCGGAAUUCCUAGUGUAGCGGUGAAAUGCGUAGAUAUUAGGAGGAACACCAGUGGCGAAGGCGGCUUUCUGGACUGUAACUGACACUGAGGCAUGAAAGCGUGGGUAGCAAACAGG
This 399-nucleotide ribosomal RNA is filed under the name uncultured bacterium. Its description in RNAcentral is "partial 16S ribosomal RNA". It matches the Rfam family "Bacterial small subunit ribosomal RNA", at positions 360 to 776 of the family's 1533-position model. The record is from RNAcentral.